AGGCUAUUUAACGUUUUUCAUCGAAGUAGCAAGAACUGUAUGCUAAUUCCAUUCACAGUUUAUAACUUUCAUCAUCCUUUAUUAUAAAAUUACUGUGGAAGAAGUUCACGUCCAUCUUCAAGAACUUGAUGAGAGUAUUACAGCACAGAAGCAAGUCAAUGAGGCUCUAGGCAACUGAGGAUCCGGCCGCACUCCACUAAACUGGGAAUCACACUCCGCCAUUGCCCUCGCCGCCGCCAAGGGCAUCGCAUUCACUCUGAGAA
Molecule: long non-coding RNA, 263 nt
Organism: Asparagus officinalis (garden asparagus)
Lineage: Eukaryota; Viridiplantae; Streptophyta; Magnoliopsida; Asparagales; Asparagaceae
Exons: 3
Source: RefSeq, a predicted model, not a curated record